This 216-nucleotide ribosomal RNA is filed under the name Glomeromycotina sp. RNAcentral's name for it is "partial small subunit ribosomal RNA". The stretch from base 40 to 216 matches the Rfam family "Eukaryotic small subunit ribosomal RNA", at positions 686 to 864 of the family's 1831-position model. The record is from RNAcentral. Lineage: Eukaryota; Fungi; Glomeromycota.
GGGUCAGUAGGUUGGUCGUGCCACCGGUACGUACUGGUCUCACUGAUUCCUCCUUCCUGAAGAACCGUAAUGCCAUUAAUUUGGUGUUGCGGGGAAACAGGACUGUUACUAUGAAAAAAUUGGAGUGUUUAAAGCAAGCUAACGCUUGAAUACAUUAGCAUGGAAUAAUGAAAUAGGACGAUCGAUCCUAUUUUGUUGGUUUCUAGGAUUGACGUA